CCCCGCUCCUGAAUUUGUUUAUUCUGCACUGGGCAUGGGAGUAGGUGGCAAACAGAUGGGCAUCCAUGAAUUAUGGAAAUUAUGGGCUUUGAUUAACCACCACACACUCUGCUGGAUAAAAGUAACUCCAGGGUUGCCAAGUUAUGUGGUGCAGUGGGCUGUGCCGUCAGUCACUCAGCAGCGUGAUGGACCUGAUGCUUGAUUGAUGUUGUUUACUGUUCAGUGUUUAAAAGAACAUAAAGUAAAACGGACGCUUUGUUCAUACUAUGCUUCCUGUUAGGUUUUGUCCAAGGGAAAAUGCACUUCCAAAUUUUGAUGGUUUCAAUCCUUUGCUGGAGCUUUGCAGGCACUUUUUGGUGGAAUUGGGUACCUAACUUUGGUGGAAAAAUCGGAUAUGUGUGCAGAAAAUGUGAGGAUGUACAAGAAGAAGUUCACUGCUAACAGUUAACCUGUGUUUCUCUUGUCAAAAACAAGUUGUGGUUUUAUGGAACUUUGUUAUAACACUACACUAUGUCCGCCAAAUUAUUAGAAUGAUUUUUUUUUUUUUAAAACAUUAUUAUUAUUAUUAUUAUUAUUAUAGGUUUUGGGGGGAAAUGCAUUUGUUGCUGAAACAGAAGAUUUAAACCUCUCCCAUAAGCACCGUAAAUAACACCUUGUUUAGAUUUACAUACUAGACAAAGCCAGACGCACUUUCAAAUGAUAAUCACACAAAAAACUACAUCAUUUUUAUUUUUUUUUUUUAAUUUGUUGGUUUGCUUUAUGUAUUUAUUUAUUUUUGACACAUAAAAUAAGCUGGUUUUAUUGUUGAGUCGUGGAGCUGCUGGUUGACAAACACUUUGCUCCACUUGGCUCGGGCAGAGCCAGGCUAGCUGUCUCCCUCCAGUGUUUGUGGAUAUGAGCUAACUGUCCACUGCUUCCAGCUUCAUAAUGUACAAACACGAAAGUGGCAUGGAGCCUGCUGUAUGAAUCGAAAAUGCACGUUUCCCAAAAUGUUGAACUAUUCCUUGAAGUGCAGGGUUCAACCACUUUAAAUUCACUGCUAGAUCCAGACUUACUUUCUGGUCAAAUUAUAUUGAUUUAUGCAGGUUAUUAACGGUCCUGUGGGCUCUGUUCUGGGAGUAUACUAUGAAUAUAAGAAGUAUUUGGCUCUUGGUUCUCCUUAGCACCAUAAUUCAUCCUUUAAGGAUGAGUGUUCAGUAGCAUGCUGCCUGAUAAUUAAUCAUGCAGACUGUAUGAUAAUCGUUUAAUUCUUACGUUUUUACAGAGUUAGAUUUGGAGCGUUAAAU
Molecule: long non-coding RNA, 1286 nt
Organism: Astatotilapia calliptera (eastern happy)
Lineage: Eukaryota; Metazoa; Chordata; Actinopteri; Cichliformes; Cichlidae
Source: Ensembl